UACGUAGGGACCAAGCGUUGUUCGGAUUUACUGGGCGUAAAGGGCGCGUAGGCGGCAGAUCAAGUCAGCUGUGAAAUCUCCGAGCUUAACUCGGAACGGUCAGCUGAUACUGUUUUGCUAGAGUACAGACGGGGCAACCGGAAUUCUUGGUGUAGCGGUGAAAUGCGUAGAUAUCAAGAGGAACACCUGAGGCGAAGGCGGGUUGCUGGGCUGAUACUGACGCUGAGGCGCGAAAGCUAGGGUAGCAAACGGG
RNAcentral lists this ribosomal RNA (253 nucleotides) under uncultured Acidobacteriota bacterium. Its description in RNAcentral is "uncultured Acidobacteria bacterium partial 16S ribosomal RNA". It matches the Rfam family "Bacterial small subunit ribosomal RNA", at positions 524 to 776 of the family's 1533-position model. The record is from RNAcentral. Lineage: Bacteria; Pseudomonadati; Acidobacteriota.